GGCUUAUUUUUGUCUCUGGUCAUCUCAUGCUGCAUGGGUGAUGAAGUUUGGCAUUGGCAUCCUUCAGUGUCCCAGAGGCAGCACUGGCCCAGGACCAUGAUAAUUUCUAGGCACGAGGUUUCUUUCAGAAACAAGUAAAUUCAGACUAUACACCAAGGAAAGCAACAGGCUUGGAACAUUUUUUUUCUCACAAAAGACUUAUUUUUCCCCCAAACAUAUUUAAUUGUCGUCUUUUUGAUCUCGUUGGCUGAGAUUUUUAGUACUCUUUGGGAGGCAUUAAAGCUUUUGAGGGGCCUAGCUUUAUAUAGACGUCUCAGUUCCUGGUCUCUGCUCAGGUGAGGAUAAGAGGCCUUCUGUACCUGGUGGGCAUUAAAAUCCUAGUCGUUACCAAAUCAGUACCGCUGCUUCCAUUCACCUCCCAAAGUUGUCGCAGCCUCACUUCUUAUAUUUAUCAGUCUGGCUUUUAAUUCCCUCUGUGUUUCUGGCCCUCUGGCCCUUGGGGACUCCUUUUUUUUCUGGACAGAUCAGCUAAAAAUUAACUCUUUUUUUUUUUUUUUUGGCUAUUUUAAACCCAAUGUUCCUAAGGGCUUAUAGUUUUCAUAGUAGCUUAGUCUACCAUGUUGCUGAAACCAGAAGAAAAAGUGAUAUGUGUCCAACAACAUAAUAUCUACCCCACAAGAUACUUACCAUAAUAGGGAAUUGAAAAAAUCCUAUGGAAAUUCAGAAAAGGUAGUAAUUAUUUGUGAUUGAGGACUUGAGAAAGACUUAAUGGAAUAACAGUUGAGUCGGUCUUUGAAAAAUGGGUAUAUUUUAACGUGAAGAGGGAGAAGAGUUGAGUACCUGGUGGAGGAAAUCCCAAAUAAGGAAUGAGCGAUCAUGAAGAUGCUUGUCAGUUUGUGAAGUAGAUUAUAGUCCUAUGUGGUUGGACUUACAUGUAGCCUUAUUGAAGGCCAUCUUUGGGGAAUGUGUAAGACCUUGCUUACAUACAAGGUCUCUCAUGGUGCUUUGUGUGUCAUACAUGCUAGAUAUUUACCAGGCGAACAAAUACACGUGAAAGAAUGUCACCAAGAAAAGGAGUGGAGACUGAGUAUGCAGAAUAAUACUCAACCUCACUGUGUCUCAGUAUUUUCACCUAAAAACAAGAGAGUAAAAAGGAGAGCCUGUGACCUUACCAGGCCUUCUGAGAUUCCUUUGGCUCUUGAGAAGAAUUACAGAUGCUGCAGCAGUUUACCUCUUCCCUGCACCUGUGUCUCCAGGAGGACUGGGACACUAUGGUCUGGUGAGUUUGCAGGGAAAAAUGUCAGGCUCAGCAAAUCUCUACCUACCUUGCAUGCUCAAGCUCUUGAAUACCAAUUUAUAGGCCUAUGGUCAACCAUUUUGAUGCCUGUCCUACUUUUCUUGCAUAAGGAACUCAUAAAGCACCCACCACAGAAUCAUGGAUGA
RNAcentral lists this long non-coding RNA (1443 nucleotides) under Macaca mulatta (Rhesus monkey). RNAcentral describes it as "lncRNA (ENSMMUG00000059030.1)". Lineage: Eukaryota; Metazoa; Chordata; Mammalia; Primates; Cercopithecidae. The record is from RNAcentral.